This 119-nucleotide ribosomal RNA is filed under the name Prolemur simus (greater bamboo lemur). The record is from RNAcentral. Lineage: Eukaryota; Metazoa; Chordata; Mammalia; Primates; Lemuridae.
GUCUACGGCCAUACUGCCCUGAACACACCCGAUCUCGUCUGAUCUUAGAAGCUAAACAGGGUUGGGCCUGGUUAGUAUUUACUUGGAUGGGAGAAAUACACAACAUGAGGCUGGAGUAU